This 965-nucleotide ribosomal RNA is filed under the name uncultured bacterium. Its description in RNAcentral is "bacterial SSU rRNA". It matches the Rfam family "Bacterial small subunit ribosomal RNA", at positions 543 to 1501 of the family's 1533-position model. The record is from RNAcentral.
UCCGGGCAUUAUUGGGCGUAAAGAGCUCGUAGGCGGUUUGUCGCGUCUGCCGUGAAAGUCCGGGGCUCAACUCCGGGUCUGCGGUGGGUACGGGCAGACUAGAGUGAUGUAGGGGAGACUGGAAUUCCUGGUGUAGCGGUGAAAUGCGCAGAUAUCAGGAGGAACACCGAUGGCGAAGGCAGGUCUCUGGGCAUUAACUGACGCUGAGGAGCGAAAGCAUGGGGAGCGAACAGGAUUAGAUACCCUGGUAGUCCAUGCCGUAAACGUUGGGCACUAGGUGUGGGGGACAUUCCACGUUUUCCGCGCCGUAGCUAACGCAUUAAGUGCCCCGCCUGGGGAGUACGGCCGCAAGGCUAAAACUCAAAGGAAUUGACGGGGGCCCGCACAAGCGGCGGAGCAUGCGGAUUAAUUCGAUGCAACGCGAAGAACCUUACCAAGGCUUGACAUGGACCGGACCGGGCUGGAAACAGUCCUUCCCCUUUGGGGCCGGUUCACAGGUGGUGCAUGGUUGUCGUCAGCUCGUGUCGUGAGAUGUUGGGUUAAGUCCCGCAACGAGCGCAACCCUCGUUCCAUGUUGCCAGCGCGUAAUGGCGGGGACUCAUGGGAGACUGCCGGGGUCAACUCGGAGGAAGGUGGGGACGACGUCAAAUCAUCAUGCCCCUUAUGUCUUGGGCUUCACGCAUGCUACAAUGGCCGGUACAAAGGGUUGCGAUACUGUGAGGUGGAGCUAAUCCCAAAAAGCCGGUCUCAGUUCGGAUUGGGGUCUGCAACUCGACCCCAUGAAGUCGGAGUCGCUAGUAAUCGCAGAUCAGCAACGCUGCGGUGAAUACGUUCCCGGGCCUUGUACACACCGCCCGUCAAGUCACGAAAGUUGGUAACACCCGAAGCCGGUGGCCUAACCCCUUGUGGGAGGGAGCUGUCGAAGGUGGGACUGGCGAUUGGGACUAAGUCGUAACAAGGUAACC